GCUAGCUACAGGCUUAACACAUGCAAGUCGAGGGGCAUCAGGAAGAAAGCUUGCUUUCUUUGCUGGCGACCGGCGCACGGGUGAGUAACACGUAUCCAACCUGCCCUUUACUCGGGGAUAGCCUUUCGAAAGAAAGAUUAAUACCCGAUAGCAUAAUGAUUCCGCAUGGUUUCAUUAUUAAAGGAUUCCGGUAGAGGAUGGGGAUGCGUUCCAUUAGGUUGUUGGUGAGGUAACGGCUCACCAAGCCUUCGAUGGAUAGGGGUUCUGAGAGGAAGGUCCCCCACAUUGGAACUGAGACACGGUCCAAACUCCUACGGGAGGCAGCAGUGAGGAAUAUUGGUCAAUGGGCGCUAGCCUGAACCAGCCAAGUAGCGUGAAGGAUGAAGGCUCUAUGGGUCGUAAACUUCUUUUAUAUAAGAAUAAAGUGCAGUAUGUAUACUGUUUUGUAUGUAUUAUAUGAAUAAGGAUCGGCUAACUCCGUGCCAGCAGCCGCGGUAAUACGGAGGAUCCGAGCGUUAUCCGGAUUUAUUGGGUUUAAAGGGAGCGUAGGUGGACUGGUAAGUCAGUUGUGAAAGUUUGCGGCUCAACCGUAAAAUUGCAGUUGAUACUGUCAGUCUUGAGUACAGUAGAGGUGGGCGGAAUUCGUGGUGUAGCGGUGAAAUGCUUAGAUAUCACGAAGAACUCCGAUUGCGAAGGCAGCUCACUGGACUGCAACUGACACUGAUGCUCGAAAGUGUGGGUAUCAAACAGGAUUAGAUACCCUGGUAGUCCACACAGUAAACGAUGAAUACUCGCUGUUUGCGAUAUACAGUAAGCGGCCAAGCGAAAGCAUUAAGUAUUCCACCUGGGGAGUACGCCGGCAACGGUGAAACUCAAAGGAAUUGACGGGGGCCCGCACAAGCGGAGGAACAUGUGGUUUAAUUCGAUGAUACGCGAGGAACCUUACCCGGGCUUAAAUUGCAGUGGAAUGAUGUGGAAACAUGUCAGUGAGCAAUCACCGCUGUGAAGGUGCUGCAUGGUUGUCGUCAGCUCGUGCCGUGAGGUGUCGGCUUAAGUGCCAUAACGAGCGCAACCCUUAUCUUCAGUUACUAACAGGUCAUGCUGAGGACUCUGGAGAGACUGCCGUCGUAAGAUGUGAGGAAGGUGGGGAUGACGUCAAAUCAGCACGGCCCUUACGUCCGGGGCUACACACGUGUUACAAUGGGGGGUACAGAAGGCAGCUAGCGGGUGACCGUAUGCUAAUCCCAAAAGCCUCUCUCAGUUCGGAUCGAAGUCUGCAACCCGACUUCGUGAAGCUGGAUUCGCUAGUAAUCGCGCAUCAGCCACGGCGCGGUGAAUACGUUCCCGGGCCUUGUACACACCGCCCGUCAAGCCAUGGGAGCCGGGGGUACCUGAAGUACGUAACCGCAAGGAUCGUCCUAGGGUAAAACUGGUGACUGGGGCUAA
Molecule: ribosomal RNA, 1446 nt
Filed under: uncultured organism
Description: SSU rRNA
Rfam family: Bacterial small subunit ribosomal RNA
Source: RNAcentral